AAACAUGUAGUCUAAGCAGACAAUGAUGAAUGUCAUAGAUUAGAUUAGAUUUAAUUUAUUCUAUAAAGAAAGUGUAAGCAUUCCACCUCAAGAGUAAUUUGGCAACAUUGGAACUGAAAUCAUUAGACCGUUUCUGAAACCAGUAGUGAAGUAUGUUGUUUAAUUAGAUGGUCCGCAAAAAACCUUACCACAAUUUGAAUUAAUUAUAUGUUUACAAGCGUUGCACGGCUGUCUUCAGUUAAUGUCGUGAGAUUUUGGUUAGUUCCAUUAAAUUAACGUAAACCCUUACUUUAUUUUUAUAUAAAGUAGUUCACCGCUAUAUUGAAUAUGAUAAAAGGGACUAAGACAAGUC
RNAcentral lists this ribosomal RNA (352 nucleotides) under Lecidea tessellata. RNAcentral's name for it is "SSU rRNA". It matches the Rfam family "Bacterial small subunit ribosomal RNA", at positions 784 to 1191 of the family's 1533-position model. The record is from RNAcentral. Lineage: Eukaryota; Fungi; Ascomycota; Lecanoromycetes; Lecideales; Lecideaceae.